GAAUCCCCGCCUCACCGCCAUUAGUACUCGGCUACGAACCGAGCGGUCGGAGGUUCGAAUCCUCCCGGAUGCACCA
RNAcentral lists this transfer RNA (76 nucleotides) under Escherichia coli. RNAcentral's name for it is "tRNA-Arg". It matches the Rfam family "tRNA", at positions 13 to 71 of the family's 71-position model. From Rfam's summary of the family: Transfer RNA (tRNA) molecules are approximately 80 nucleotides in length. Their secondary structure includes four short double-helical elements and three loops (D, anti-codon, and T loops). The record is from RNAcentral. Lineage: Bacteria; Pseudomonadati; Pseudomonadota; Gammaproteobacteria; Enterobacterales; Enterobacteriaceae.